Non-coding RNA from Petromyzon marinus (sea lamprey), 4162 nucleotides. Lineage: Eukaryota; Metazoa; Chordata; Hyperoartia; Petromyzontiformes; Petromyzontidae. The record is from RefSeq and is a predicted model, not a curated record.
GUAGCUGCAAUUUAAAACAUCACGGCAUGAAAUGUACACAAUGUGGUUAAUAAAUAAAUCAAUGGCCCACACAUUGCGUUUAUACUUGUGCUGUGUUCGUAAAGGUGGCACGCAUUCUCCACACUGACCUGUACUUCCUGUUUACUUCAUCUGCUGUCAGAGCAUGGUCAAACAUUGUGACCUUGUACUGGUCAGGCAGCCGGGGCCCACUGUAGCUGGGACACUCCAGAGCGAUGGCUGCAUCCAGCAGAGAGAGAAGAGCUGCGAGCUAAAGAUGAGCUCGAGGGAUUUGUUGGAGGCCUGGGCCACACAGAUGGACAGCAUUUCGUCAAGCAGCACUAGCUCAUGCUCGCGCACGUUGCCUACAUGGCUCAAGGUGUGCUUCACCAAGCGCAGUACCUUCCUUUCCAGGUUCACGCGUUUGUCUACUUGCUCGUCUUGACCUCCGUUCAUUUUAGCAGAAACCAUCCCAUCUUCCACUGCAAAACCAGCUCCUUUUUCUGCCGAAGUGCAAGGACCUGUUGCCACCAUGGAAGCAGCACCAAUUUGUGCACAGAUCCCACCCAUCGUCGCCUCUGACAUUUCGGAUACCUUUGAGGUAGCAUUUUCUAAUGCCGCUGGGGCAUUUGCCAGCAUCGACUCUCCUGCUUCUGGCUCACUGGCUGUUGUGAGCAUGCGGUAAUAUGACAGCAACAAGAAUAGCGUUUGAGGAUGGCGCUCCCGCUCGAUGUUGCGCUCCAAACUGUUAAGGCAGGGCUCUACCAGGGGGUGGUUGUGUGGACUCAUAGGAUGCAGCUUCAUUACACUACUGAACAGCAUGGAAACAUCCUUUUGGUUGAAGUGGGCCAAUCGGGAAUGGGCCUCUUGCUCCAAAGUGCGCACAACAUCUGCAUUGCCCUGCAUCCCUGUUUUUGGCACAAGAAAAGCAAUGUGGCAUCAGUGUUGUGAACAGUUUUAAUACAAAAAACAAUGGUAUGGUUGCAAGUGGUUGUGGUUUAGCCUCUUAUUUUACACCAUAUCUGAUCAAAGCAUCACUGUCAUUCGCAACUGAAUAUAUAUUUUUACAAAAGCAAUUACUUACCAAGAGUUGCCAGUGCAUAGAGACAGUUGACUACGCUGAAGUUGUCAAACUGAGAACAGUUCUUUGCAACGGCUUCACAGAGUGCUUUGAAGUCUGGGCUGUCUUGCAGUUGCUUGUAGGCCGAUUCCACAGUCUGGCAAUUGCUGUUGCUGCCAUCACUCGUUCCACCUCGCUGUUGCUGGUGUUGUAGGAUGUGGCCGAGCCUCUGCAGGGCCACUGGGUAAUGGCUAGGAGCGACUUUUCCAGGAUUCUGUGCCAACCAGCGCAACACCUCCUCUGGGCUGCAGGAGCGCUCCAGCAGUCUCUUCAUGGUAAAGAACGUGUCAUAGCUCACCUUCUCCCGCCCCACCUGCCAUGCCUUCCUGGCUGCCACUGCCUGCGACUGAUGAGGUCGGUUGAAUCGACCAGUGACUGGCACACAGAACUGGCACAAAACACAAGGGGUCGUAUUUUACUAUUCAAUCAAUUCAAUGUUAAAUUUAUCACAACGGUAUGCAAACUCCAAUGCAGGUAACUAGGAUAUGAAUUGGCCCCUUCUAAAUAUUGUUACGCAUUUAACCGCGUGCAUGCAUUUGCAAGUAGUUAUUUUUACUCCGGACGCUGCUAUAAAAUAUAUAAUUUAUGCACAUGCAAUAUUUAUAGUACCUGGCUGACAAUGAAGGUGUGGAUGACACCAUAUUCCUACCUGCGCAUGGAAGGAAUCUUGGUGCAGGAACCCGUUUGACAGGCCCAAGAGGCGGCAUCCAAUACCCGCGGCAUGCUGCCGGCCUGACAGCAGGGCCCUGGGGGGCAACGGCGCGAUCAAGUGGCCAGCCAGGCCGCGCAGGUGCAGGCCGCGAGGCUGGUGGAAGGAUGCGAAGCGCGGAGCUCUCACGGGUUGUGGGAAGGCGUUCAUUUGUGCCUCGGAUCUCGCCAGUCCUCGCAGAAGCGCUAGCAUGUUUUGAACCCGCGCCGCUGUGCUGGGAGAUGGCCAGGCCGUUUCGUGCCCCUCGCUGCAGGCGCACACGCACAUCAUGGCCCUCACUCAAAUGUCACUCGGGAGUCUUAAUUUGUACGUUUCAUUGCAGCUGGCUUACACGAGCGAAGGUUGCAGCCCCUCUUCACAAGCGAAAUUGCUAUUUAUUUUAAACACAUUAAACGGUCAAGCUCGUUGGUAAUAAGAAACCGACAAUUAGGGGACGUCUAGUUCACGCAGAUGUUAAUCUGUGAUGAGCUGUCUCGGGUCAGGGAGCAGAUGUCUCAAAUACGUUUACGUGCAAUUUUUUUUUUAUUUACAGAUACGAAUAGGAAAUCGCGCAAUGCAAAUUUUUCAACCGGCCACAAUCGUUUUAAAACGGCAAACAUACACCACCUGCGCACGAGUCCUAUGCUCGUUCGGCAAGGAUCACUGAUGGUAAUCGGGUUUGUUACCAUCUCAAAAGUCGAAUCAAGAUGAAAAUCAACAAAAUGCUGCGACCACCGUGGGGUCCAAGCCACGGUAGUGAAACGUUGGGAAGUGGCGUUGAGACUUAAAUCGCAUCGUGGGGGUCCUAAGAGAGGCAUAUAAACACUGGGUGAUCACGAACCUGAGAGGCUCGGGUUGUUUCCUUAAUGGACAAAGUGGUCGAGCUGGUUCAAUAGAACGAGUAGACCCAACGUAUUCCCUAACACAAAAAUAAAAACCAUACAAGAAAAAGGGCGUGAGAAAAGUCGAAAGGGUUUUCUAAACGUGGGGGCAUUAGGCGACAUCUUGGGGACACGUCUUAAACACCAGGGCCGGGUCGCAUCCAACAUGAGGAAGAUUCCCCUUCAGUUUCUGAAAUGUAAUUGUAUAUUUGCGCUGUUCUACGCGACCCGGGGCCAGGGCUGCCCCGAGUUCUCCCACUGCUUCCUCGACCCCCAACUCUUCAACUUCACCGGCGUCAACUUCACUAAAACUCGAGGCACUUCCCUGCGAGCGUGACGUCACUCCCCCACCGGGCAGGCCUUACCGGUGACCGCCAAAUAAUCAUCCGUGACAAUGGAUGAAUAAUCAGCGCGCUUACGUUUACAGCGAUAAUCGAACAGCUUAACGUCCCGGGCGCCACGACCACCCGAGUGGGUUGGUGAGGCGGUGUUGGGGUUGGGGAGGAGGAGGCGGCGGCGGCGCACGACCGGAGCCCGCCUCGGCUCGAGUCCCCGGGCAGCCUGCGUCGUGGCCCCGCGCCAAACCCUCUCCAAUCCCCGGCGGAGGCUCGGGGAACCGCAAUCCCGGCCGCCGACAACGCCGCUCACCUCGCCGCCGCCGCGACGCCGCUAACGCCACGCUCAUGACUCCGGUGUCGAGCGCUCGGCGUGUCCCGUGGAGAGCGACAUCUUCACCCCCCCCCCUACCAGCUUCCGGGUCAGAUUCGCCGCUUCCGGGUUAGGCUCGUCGCUUCCGGGUCGGAGCCAAUCCGGAACUUAGCCACGCCCCUCUCCACCCACUUCCGCCGCCCCCACCCCGCCCGCAACGCCUCUCCCAAUCACGUGCCGAGUUAAAGCUUUGCCCACGCGAUUUGAUGGUGACGUCCGCGAUUCGGGAGUGGCGAUUCGUUGCAAGAAUCGAUUCGUUUCGGAUGUCGGAUUCAUGUGGCUGCAUUCUUGCGUUUUACGAGAAUCGACGCUCAUUGCUAACUACACAGAUGUAUUCAUCUUCCUUGGGUCUUUCGGUAAAGUCACGUAGAAUGAGAAUAAAAUAAUAAAAUAACACAAUCAAAUUCUCACGACGUUUCGGCCACAACAUAAGUGGCCUUCUUCAGGUGAAAGGAACAACCUAUCGGGACGACAGAGCUACAAUACACCUUUACAGGUGUACACCUUUACAGGUGUAUUGUUACUCGAACGUCUUUUUCGAUGAGUGGAGCCGCACCGUAAGCCGCAGGGAUCUGUCUCGAUUGGCAUAUGGACCCUUGGAUGCAUGAUUAUGAAUGUGCUAUGAAGGAGGGCGAUUUGCCCGAAACGUCGCCUUCGAUAUACAGUAUUAUAUUUUCCCGUUCAGGAAGUUUUGUUGUCAAAUUUGUUGAGGGUUUUCAAAAUAAUUUAUGAGAUUGUUGUGAUAAAUAAUAAAUACGUUGUCGUGCA